This is a long non-coding RNA of Macadamia integrifolia, 678 nucleotides long. RefSeq lists it as uncharacterized. The record is from RefSeq and is a predicted model, not a curated record. NCBI's taxonomy places the organism in Eukaryota, Viridiplantae, Streptophyta, Magnoliopsida, Proteales, Proteaceae. The transcript is spliced from 2 exons.
UAAAUAUUCUGCAUCUUUUCCUCUCUUUUUUCCUGCUAUUUGAUUCUUAGAGUUCCAUUUCAUUUUAGGUAAUCGAUUUCGUUCGUAGGAGCUGGUUUUCUUGUUUUGGGAAAUGGCCAUGUCUCCUCGAUAAGGAUUAUUAUUGUUAUUUCUUUUUCCUGGUAGAACAGGUAGUUUUUAUGUGAAAGAUUCGAUAUUAUGGAGCAAACGCAAGGUUUGAAAGUGUCAGAUUGGAUUUUGAUUGUGUAAAUUAAGCUUCGCUUAUAUUUAUGUGACUAUGCCUGGAGUCCCAACAUUAUGGGUGACAAGAGGAGGGGAAUUUGUGUGGAUGGUUUGGUCAUUUUGUGGAGAGAGAGAGAGAGAUGUUUGGGUUGUGCCAAGAAAAAUGUGGCUUGAGCUAAUAAGGAAGGGCCGAUAACAUGUGAGUUAACAUCACGCAUGGUCCUCGGUAGAGUGGGAAGAAACAAGAGGAUAUGUGUUGCUGAUGCCAAGUAGUGAUGAGGCUAUCUUGAGUUGUACUGUUUCUGGCCACUUUGUAGUUGUUAAUUAUGACAGUCAUGCACUAUUGAACUGUGGAGAAAACCAAAGUUGGGGUUGACUCUUCGGUGCCUGAUGUAGUUUUUGUAUGAACAUUAACAUCAAUAACCGUAAUCAAUGAUAUGCUAGAUCUGUGUGGUU